Molecule: ribosomal RNA, 253 nt
Filed under: uncultured bacterium
Lineage: Bacteria
Description: partial 16S ribosomal RNA
Rfam family: Bacterial small subunit ribosomal RNA
Source: RNAcentral
GACAGAGGUGCCGAGCGUUAGGCGGAAUCACUGGGCUUAAAGCGUGUGUAGGCGGGCCGUUAAGUAUCUUGUGAAAUCCCCCGGCUCAACCGGGGAAUGGCUGGAUAUACUGGCGGUCUUGAGCGAUCUAGGGGCAGAUGGAACAAGUGGUGGAGCGGUGAAAUGCGUAGAGAUCAGGAAGAACACCGGUGGCGAAGGCGCUCUGCUAGGCCGCAACUGACACUGAGGGACGAAAGCUAGGGGAGCGAAUGGG